UGUAACUGCCACAUGCCUCAUUUUUUUUUCUAGCAAGCCAGAGCAUAGUUUACUCACACGCUUGUAUAUCAGUAUCGAUUGCAUGGGUACAGAAAGGUAAGUUAGUUCAGUUUUUUUUUGCACUAUCAGAGGCUUCAAGGCCAACUUUAAUGUCAGUAUUUCUGCCAAUUUAUUAUUAUCAAAAGAGCAAACUCCCCAGGACAGAAGCCCCAAUAGAAAAAGUAGGAAAGGGGCAAUAGGACAUAUUUUUGUCCAACAUUACCAGUGGUACCACAAUAGUAGAGUAUAUUUAAUGAGUAAUAUGAUUGAUUUAUAUCGUUAUAUAGGUUAGAAUUGAUCUAUAUGAAUGUGAUGUUGGAUGGGACAGCCAUGGUGUUAUUUAAGACUAAACAUUAACAUCUUGGAAUUUGUUCAGAGGCUGAAUUAUGAGAAAUACCACAGCACUUGGGCUCUAUGCAAUAAAACUUACAUAUGAUGGUAAAUAAGUUGCUUAAAUCUGGAUAUGUAAAUAGCUGGACACUGAACUAAAUGCGGAAUCCCAAAAUGGCUCCCUAUAAUACAUUACAUCGACUUUGGAAGAGAUUAUUAAAUGCACAUUAAAUGUAGUGCACUUACGUAGGGAGUGAUGUUUACCUCAUGGGACUUAUAGAUUAGACACAUUAAAAAAUGUGUUUAUUAACAUAAUGCCUAAUACAUUUUUUUUUGUUGUUGAACUUAGCAAUUGUAUCGACAGAAUAAAGCAACAAUUUGUUUUAUGGAUGUCUACAGCUUUAAAAAGAUGGAUUAUACUGUUUCAGAAGAUGAGUAAGAUAUGCCAGAGCUAAUCUAUUUCGAGAUUUGUUUCUUUAUCAAAAUCUUGUAGUUGAUGUCAAACUUUAAUAGGCAGCCAGGGUAAGCUGAAUAAAAUUGGAGUAAUCGGACGUUAUUUUACUGGAAAGAACACAAGCUGCAGUAUUCUGGAUUAGUUAAAGCUUAUUUAAACCUAGAGCCAGCUAGCAACACAUUACAAUGAUCCAAUCUAAUGGUGCAGUUUUAUCAGGAUUUAGCAGCAGGAAGUUUCUAGUCAUCCAUGCAUCCAUUUUGUGUAACUGUGCUGCUGAAUCUGGCUGGACUGAUAAGUAGAUCUGUGUAUUGUAAGUUUAGAAGUAGAAAUUAACAUUAUAUUUAUAGAUGAAAUGUCUCAGAUGCUCUAUAUAGAGUGAAAAGGGUCGAGAGGAGAACCCUCGUGGAUGCCAUAUUGAAUGUUUUAAGUUAUGAAAGAUCUCUAUUGAUUCUUAAAACUUUCAGUCUAAACCGGGCAAAAACAUAAUCAUCUAAACCAACCAUGUUUUUAAGCCUAUUGAGUAAAUAUCAUGGCUGAAAGUGUCAAAUGCUGCCAGGAAAGUCCAACAAAACCGAAAGAGAACCACAAUCUGAAGUCAGCAGCAGAUCAGUGACCACUUCCUCUAGUGCUGAUUCUGCUUCCUGAACUCUGACUGGAUACAUCAUGCUUAUUAUUCUUCUUUAGAAAAGAACAGCGCUGUUGUGCAGCAGUCUUCUCCAAACGUGACAGAUGUUUACUGUGAAAAAGAACGUUUUAAAACCUCCCCAUGGCCGCUGGAUUGUACAUCAACGUUGCCACCAUAUCAAUCUGGGCAACUUGCCAUAAAUCUCAUAAGUGAACAGGUGAACAGAUACUUGACUCAGCUUGGGACAAUACAAACCAUCACACAUUCCAAAACCAGACUUCACAGGUUUCCCCCAAAGAGAAACUGUUGAGGAGGCAGUGGGAAGGAGCUGUAAGAAGGGAAGGUGUUUCCGCAAGCGAGUCUUCCGUACUGUCCUGAGAGCACUUCAUGCCUUCAGAUUCUAUUAUUUAAUUAUUUUGAUUUUAUUAUUGACUACAUUAUGCUACUGUUUAUACUACAUAUACAAUUUGCUAUUAUCAAUUGAUUAUUAUUAUUAUUAUUAUUAUAUUAUUAUUAUUAUUAUUACCACAGAAAUGUUUUACCACUGUAACUUUAUCUGUCAAUGUUUUACCGGAUCCACACAGGUUAGUCAUUGUUAUUGUCUGUUUUGGAGUACAUCUGUAUGCUUUUAUUGCUAAUAAAAAAUAUAGAAAGCA
Molecule: long non-coding RNA, 2104 nt
Organism: Ictalurus furcatus (blue catfish)
Lineage: Eukaryota; Metazoa; Chordata; Actinopteri; Siluriformes; Ictaluridae
Exons: 2
Source: RefSeq, a predicted model, not a curated record